This 498-nucleotide ribosomal RNA is filed under the name uncultured bacterium. RNAcentral describes it as "partial 16S ribosomal RNA". It matches the Rfam family "Bacterial small subunit ribosomal RNA", at positions 28 to 507 of the family's 1533-position model. The record is from RNAcentral.
GACGAACGCUGGCGGCGUGCCUAAUACAUGCAAGUCGAACGAGAGCGCCCUGUGCUUGCACUGGUCUCUCUUGUCGCGAACGGGUGAGUAACACGUGGGUCACCUGCCCAUCAGGGGGGGAUCACAUCCGGACACGGGUGCUUAAACCGCAUAGGUCUUCGAUCCGCGUUGGUGGUAGGAGAAAAGCGGCGCAAGCUUCUGCAGUCGCAUGGUCCCGGGGUGCAUGUGCUGGUUGGUGUGGUAACGGCUCAGCCAGGCGGUGAUGCAUAGCCGACGAGAGGGGGUGAUAGGCCACAUGAGGACUGAGACACGGACCAAACGCCUACGGGAGGCAGCAGUAGGGAAUCUGACGCAGUGGACGGAAGUCUGACGGAGCAGCGCCGCGUGAGUGAAGAAGGUGCUCGGAGCGUAAAAAUCUCUUGUUAGAGAAGAACAAGUGCCAGAGGAAAUGUAGGCUGCUUGACGGUAUCUAAUCAGAAAGCAACGGCUAACUACGUG